This 252-nucleotide ribosomal RNA is filed under the name uncultured bacterium. RNAcentral describes it as "partial 16S ribosomal RNA". It matches the Rfam family "Bacterial small subunit ribosomal RNA", at positions 524 to 776 of the family's 1533-position model. The record is from RNAcentral.
UUCGGAGGAUGCGAGCGUUAUCCGGAUUUAUUGGGUUUAAAGGGUGCGUAGGCGGACUGUCAAGUCAGCGGUAAAAUUGAGAGGCUCAACCUCUUCCCGCCGUUGAAACUGGUGGUCUUGAGUGGAUGAGAAGUACGCGGAAUGCGUGGUGUAGCGGUGAAAUGCAUAGAUAUCACGCAGAACUCCGAUUGCGAAGGCAGCGUACCGGCAUCCAACUGACGCUGAGGCACGAAAGCGUGGGGAUCAAACAGG